This 407-nucleotide ribosomal RNA is filed under the name uncultured bacterium. Its description in RNAcentral is "partial 16S ribosomal RNA". It matches the Rfam family "Bacterial small subunit ribosomal RNA", at positions 30 to 526 of the family's 1533-position model. The record is from RNAcentral.
AUUGAACGCUGGCGGCAGGCCUAACACAUGCAAGUCGAGCGGAGCGGCGGACGGGUGCGGAAUGCCUAGGUAUCUGCCUGGUAGUGGGGGAGAACGUUAGGAAACGGGCGCGAAUACUGCUUACUAGCAGAAGAGCAUAGGUCGGGUUGGCUAGUGGGUGGGGUAAGGGCAUACCAAGGCGACGAUCCGUAACUGGUCUGAGAGGAUGAUCAGUCACACUGGUACUGAGACACGGUCCAGACUCCUACGGGAGGCAGCAGUGGGGAAUAUUGGACAAUGGGCGAAAGCCUGAUCCAGCCAUGCCGCGUGUAUGAAGAAGGUCUUCGGAUUGUAAAGCACUUUAAGUUGGGAGGCGUUACCAGCAGAAUAAGCACCGGCUAACUUCGUGCCAGCAGCCGCGGUAAUUC